Molecule: ribosomal RNA, 369 nt
Filed under: uncultured eukaryote
Lineage: Eukaryota
Description: bacterial SSU rRNA
Rfam family: Eukaryotic small subunit ribosomal RNA
Source: RNAcentral
CAAUAGCGUAUAUUAAUGUUGUUGCAGUUAAAAAGCUCGUAGUUGGAUUUCUGGUGGGAGUGGCCGGUCCGCCGUAAGGUGUGUACUUGGUUGUCUCCCGUCAUCCUUGUGGGAACUGCUCUGGCAUUAAGUUGGUCGGGGUUAGGGAACACAUCGUUUUACUAGUGAAAAAAUUAGAGUGUUUAAAGCAGGCUUAUGCCGUUGAAUACAUUAGCAUGGAAUAAUAAGAUAGGACUUUGGCGUUCUAUUUUGUUGGUUUUGCACACCAAGGUAAUGAUUAAUAGGGAUAGUUGGGGGUAUUCGGUAUUUAAUUGUCAGAGGUGAAAUUCUUGGAUUUAUGAAAGACGAACUUCUGCGAAAGCAUUUACC